CACGUAGGGUGCGAGCGUUGUCCGGAAUUAUUGGGCGUAAAGAGCUCGUAGGCGGUGUGUCGCGUCGGCCGUGAAAACCUGCAGCUUAACUGUGGGCUUGCGGUCGGUACGGGCAUCACUGGAGUUCGGCAGGGGAGACUGGAAUUCCUGGUGUAGCGGUGAAAUGCGCAGAUAUCAGGAGGAACACCGGUGGCGAAGGCGGGUCUCUGGGCAGUAACUGACGCUGAGGAGCGAAAGCGUGGGGAGCGAACAGG
This 254-nucleotide ribosomal RNA is filed under the name uncultured bacterium. RNAcentral's name for it is "partial 16S ribosomal RNA". It matches the Rfam family "Bacterial small subunit ribosomal RNA", at positions 524 to 776 of the family's 1533-position model. The record is from RNAcentral.